CCCUGCUGCCUUCGACCUUGUAUAUUGCUCUUCCUUUUUUUGCGUUUUGUUAUAGAUUUGUACAGAAACCAUCUCAUUCUUUACAGAGUAAUUUGCAACUUCCGGGAAGUACAGUAUGUGCAGCUGGAAGUUUCGACAAGAAAUUUGCGUCCUGAAUUUGUGGGCAGCCGGGAUCGCCAUGGCGUUCGGAUGUAGCAAUCCGCAGCUAUAGUUUCCCCGGUUCCCAACCUUGAAAAACUAGGGCUACCAAUGUUUUUCAAGAGGAUUCCGGUACGUGUCGGUGAAAUGAGCUUCAAUGCUUCAUCGAUCCUGAUGGAGAAGUUGAGAGCGGGAUGACCACGGCGCUGGUUAGAACUUAGAGACAUACAGGCAAUCGCGCAAAAAAUGGGUUUACGUUUCUCAUGUACAGUACGCAAGAGUCGUGCUGUAUUAUCCGCCAUCGUUGGCCGUCGACGUCGUCAUCGCUCGGCUGGCUAAUAUGUGCGUUGCUCGAUUACAUAUGCACCGAUAGCUUCGGCGAGAAAUCGGAAUCGUGCCUUUUGCCUUCCGUGACAACGUUCAUGCUUGUGUAUCUUUGUGACCUGCUCAGUGACCAUACCGUGUCCAUCGUGACGGCGGGAGGGGCCUCGAACGCCGUCAUCCGAAAGCUCGCGGAAGCGCGCUGGACAACCUCCUCAUUACACCGUUAUACACUGUAGUGCGCGAGCGCAUUUACUUGGUAAUAAGCACCAAUAAUUAUGGAUGAAGUCAUCGCACUUGCCGUGAUGACUUAAUCACGGUAUCUGGCGGAAUUACCAAUGUUGUCGAGGGGAUUACUGUAUUUGAUUUUAUAAUUUAAGAUCAGCAGUAGAAUCGGCAUUUUAAUUUUAGUCGCUCGGUCAAUACAGCGGAAGUUGAUUUAGUUAUCCUGCAGUGUAUUAAAAAUAAUUGUAAAACAGAUUAAAACAUUAUAUGAAUAUGCAUAAUUUGUGCACUCGUGCUGUUUGUUUGCUUUUUCACUAAGAAUGCGGAGGUGGAAUCCAUCUAUCCGGACUGGCAUACCUGCGUGUGUUGUAUAUACAUCUGGAAAUAGGGAAUGUCCGUGCGGCUGGGCGGUUCACGGUUUCAAGGUGAACGAGUUUCCGACGGAAAUUCUUCGGCCUUGAAUUGCGAAAUAGCCUCGUAUAUGCCUUUGACCGCGCAAUAACCGAUAGAACA
This is a long non-coding RNA of Paramacrobiotus metropolitanus, 1197 nucleotides long. RefSeq lists it as uncharacterized. NCBI's taxonomy places the organism in Eukaryota, Metazoa, Tardigrada, Eutardigrada, Parachela, Macrobiotidae. The record is from RefSeq and is a predicted model, not a curated record. The transcript is spliced from 3 exons.